UGUCUCUACAUAGUAGCUUAAAGAUCCAUCUAUCCCGAAGGAAGUGAUUUAUGCGUGAGUCUAUCCGAAUCUAUCAUCGCCCUCAUGAUGAUCCUAUGAUCAGAAGCCUUUAGGAAUUAAAUACAUGUCUCUAAUUCUCAAUACUUUGAGAAUAUAUAUCAAAACUAAUUUCAUGGAUGAUUCAAGAACAUAUUACACUUGAAUGAAAAAGAACAUGCCCCUUUUAUUGAUCAUA
This 235-nucleotide long non-coding RNA is filed under the name Elaeis guineensis (African oil palm). Its description in RNAcentral is "long non-coding RNA (EGUI_LNC033507)". Lineage: Eukaryota; Viridiplantae; Streptophyta; Magnoliopsida; Arecales; Arecaceae. The record is from RNAcentral.